This 465-nucleotide ribosomal RNA is filed under the name Vreelandella stevensii. Its description in RNAcentral is "partial 16S ribosomal RNA". It matches the Rfam family "Bacterial small subunit ribosomal RNA", at positions 338 to 795 of the family's 1533-position model. Lineage: Bacteria; Pseudomonadati; Pseudomonadota; Gammaproteobacteria; Oceanospirillales; Halomonadaceae. The record is from RNAcentral.
CCUACGGGAGGUAGCAGUGGGGAAUAUUGGACAAUGGGCGAAAGCCUGAUCCAGCCAUGCCGCGUGUGUGAAGAAGGCCUUCGGGUUGUAAAGCACUUUCAGUGGGGAAGAAAGCCUUGGGGCUAAUACCCUCGAGGAAGGACAUCACCCACAGAAGAAGCACCGGCUAACUCCGUGCCAGCAGCCGCGGUAAUACGGAGGGUGCGAGCGUUAAUCGGAAUUACUGGGCGUAAAGCGCGCGUAGGCGGUCUGAUAAGCCGGUUGUGAAAGCCCCGGGCUCAACCUGGGAACGGCAUCCGGAACUGUCAGGCUAGAGUGCAGGAGAGGAAGGUAGAAUUCCCGGUGUAGCGGUGAAAUGCGUAGAGAUCGGGAGGAAUACCAGUGGCGAAGGCGGCCUUCUGGACUGACACUGACGCUGAGGUGCGAAAGCGUGGGUAGCAAACAGGAUUAGAUACCCUGGUAGUC